Long non-coding RNA from Dunckerocampus dactyliophorus (ringed pipefish), 1042 nucleotides. RefSeq lists it as uncharacterized. The record is from RefSeq and is a predicted model, not a curated record. The transcript is spliced from 3 exons. Lineage: Eukaryota; Metazoa; Chordata; Actinopteri; Syngnathiformes; Syngnathidae.
UAUGUCUAUUCUAUUUCUUUUCUUUUUUUUUAGACCUGUCCAAGCUGAGUGUUACCUCUCCAAGGCUGCCCUGCUGCUGGCCCAGAGCUGGCAGACUGCGCAGCGAGGGGACGGGCGAGUGACCCUGCCGACCGCGAGAUUCUCUGGGGGCCUGGCGGUGGAUGUGAUCGUUGUCUCCGUUGAGGUUGUUGUCACUCGCCGAGCGCAGCAAGGAUCGAGUCAGCUGGGAUAGGCUCCAGCAUACUCCAGCAACCCUAGUGAGGAUAAGUGGCAUAGAAGAUGGAUGGGCGGAUGUGUCAACAUGUGACGUGCAUGGGAAACUGUCAAAAUGUCACAGAUUGGCAUCUCGUGCCAUAAUAGAGAUUCUACUGCAUGCAGCCUUCUCAAGCAAGCCAAUGAAGAUUUCCAAACUCCAAUAGAUACACCUACGGAUAAGCACCUUGAAGUGAUGCCUUAUUUCCAAAGAUGCAGGACACACAUAAUGUACUGUAGAUGCAAGGACUCUGACUCACACAAGCCAGUUACUGUACACACUCAUCAGUCUUCCUAUAGCAAUUCAUUUAGAACACAUUCCAAUGAAGUCCUCAGCGUGGCUCGCCCUAAGGUGUAUACAUUUGCUACACAGGAAGUGUAGUGGAGUAAAAGACACUCCAGUCAUCACUGUGUAAAAGAGGAAGACAGAUGGUUGCUGUCAUUGCUCAUAUUUACCCAUUUGAGGAUUUGAUUCUCACUGAAACUGAAAGGUACAACUUUUGCAUAUUUUCCCUUAAGGUAGCACUUUUUGUUUUGCAUCAUUUCUGCAUCAUUUAAUGCCGAAUUAUGCUUAAACGUCAAAAUCACACUUAAGGUUUUGGAAUUUUAAUAUUUAAACAUUAAGCGGGGCUGCUAUUGUCUAUCUCAAGAGGCAAGAGGUUAUGUUUUAUUUAUGUGUAUGUUUGUUAUCGGUAUACACAUGUUGUAUGACAUCCCCAUCAGCGGUGCAGUGCAUCAACAAUGACUUACUCCCUACUUUGGCCAGUGAGCCGAGUUCUGGUUGUUUUUU